This 474-nucleotide ribosomal RNA is filed under the name uncultured bacterium. RNAcentral's name for it is "SSU rRNA". It matches the Rfam family "Bacterial small subunit ribosomal RNA", at positions 26 to 518 of the family's 1533-position model. The record is from RNAcentral.
AGGACGAACGCUGGCGGCGUGCUUAACACAUGCAAGUCGAGCGGAAAGGCCCUUCGGGGUACUCGAGCGGCGAACGGGUGAGUAACACGUGAGCAACCUGCCCUUAGCUCCGGGAUAGCUCCGGGAAACCGGAAUUAAUACCGGAUACGACCACGGCCGACAUCUGCUGUGGUGGAAAGGAUUCCGGCUAAGGAUGGGCUCGCGGCCUAUCAGCUAGUUGGUGGGGUAAUGGCCCACCAAGGCGACGACGGGUAGCCGGCCUGAGAGGGCGACCGGCCACACUGGGACUGAGACACGGCCCAGACUCCUACGGGAGGCAGCAGUGGGGAAUAUUGCGCAAUGGGCGAAAGCCUGACGCAGCGACGCCGCGUGGGGGAUGAAGGCCUUCUGGUUGUAAACCCCUUUCAGCAGGGACGAAGCGAAAGUGACGGUACCUGCAGAAGAAGCGCCGGCUAACUACGCGCCAGCAGCCGC